RNAcentral lists this ribosomal RNA (402 nucleotides) under Hesiospina aurantiaca. RNAcentral describes it as "partial 16S ribosomal RNA". It matches the Rfam family "Bacterial large subunit ribosomal RNA", at positions 1981 to 2602 of the family's 2925-position model. Lineage: Eukaryota; Metazoa; Annelida; Polychaeta; Phyllodocida; Hesionidae. The record is from RNAcentral.
UGGAGGCUGGUAUGAUGGAUAAACGAGGGACCAGCUGUCUCACACAAGCCCCUAAAAAUUAACCUCUAGGUGAAGAGGCCUAGAUCACACUAAAAGACAAGAAGACCCUAUAGAGUUUUACUUAUACGUACUAGCCUAGAAUAAAUAAAUCUAGGUGGAAACUUAAAAGUUUGGUUGGGGCGACCAAGGAAUAAACCCACCUUCCUGAAAAAACCGAACUAAAUCUCUCUCCAGAUCCUUAAAAAAGAUAAAAAAAACAACACUACCUUAGGGAUAACAGGCCAAUCUCCCCAGAGAGCCCAAAUUGACGGGGAGGGUUGGCACCUCGAUGUUGGCUUAAGACAACUCCUAAAUGCAGCAGUUUAGAUAAGUUGGUUUGUUCAACCAUUAAAGUCUUACGUG